Molecule: ribosomal RNA, 425 nt
Filed under: uncultured bacterium
Lineage: Bacteria
Description: partial 16S ribosomal RNA
Rfam family: Bacterial small subunit ribosomal RNA
Source: RNAcentral
GUGGGGAAUAUUGGGCAAUGGGCGAAAGCCUGACCCAGCAACGCCGCGUGAAGGAAGAAGGUCUUCGGAUCGUAAACUUCUAUCCUUGGUGAAGAUAAUGACGGUAGCCGAGAAGGAAGCCCCGGCUAACUACGUGCCAGCAGCCGCGGUAAUACGUAGGGGGCAAGCGUUGUCCGGAAUGAUUGGGCGUAAAGGGCGCGUAGGCGGCCCGGUAAGUCUGAAGUGAAAGUCCUGCUGUUAAGGUGGGAAUUGCUUUGGAUACUGUCGGGCGUGAGUGCAGGAGAGGUAAGCGGAAUUCCCGGUGUAGCGGUGAAAUGCGUAGAGAUCGGGAGGAACACCAGUGGCGAAGGCGGCUUACUGGACUGUAACUGACGCUGAGGCGCGAAAGUGUGGGGAGCAAACAGGAUUAGAAACCCCGGUAGUCC